CCUACGGGUGGCAGCAGUGAGGAAUAUUGGUCAAUGGGCGCGAGCCUGACCCAGCAAAGUCGCGUGAGGGAGUACUGCCCUAUGGGUUGUAAACCUCUUUUGUCGGGGAGCAACAGCCAGACGUGUCCGGCUGUGAGGGUACCCGAAGCAAAAGCAUCGGCUAACGCCGUGCCAGCAGCCGCGGUACUACGGAGGAUGCGAGCGUUAUCCGGAUUUAUGGGGUUAAAGGGGUGCGCAGGCGGAUUUUUAAGUCAGCGGUCAAGUCGUGGGGCUCAACCCCAUCCAGCAGUUGAAACUGGGGAUCUAGAGUGUGCGAGAGGUAUGCGGAAUGCGUGGUGUAGCGGUGAAAUGCAUAGAUAUCACGCAGAACCCCGAUUGCGAAGGCAGCAUACCGGUGCACAACUGACGCUCAGGCACGAAAGCGUGGGUAUCGAACAGGAUUAGAUACCCCAGUAGUC
This 458-nucleotide ribosomal RNA is filed under the name uncultured bacterium. RNAcentral describes it as "partial 16S ribosomal RNA". It matches the Rfam family "Bacterial small subunit ribosomal RNA", at positions 338 to 795 of the family's 1533-position model. The record is from RNAcentral.